This 223-nucleotide signal recognition particle RNA is filed under the name Chlorocebus sabaeus (green monkey). RNAcentral's name for it is "Metazoan signal recognition particle RNA". It matches the Rfam family "Metazoan signal recognition particle RNA". Rfam says of the family: The signal recognition particle (SRP) is a universally conserved ribonucleoprotein. It is involved in the co-translational targeting of proteins to membranes. Lineage: Eukaryota; Metazoa; Chordata; Mammalia; Primates; Cercopithecidae. The record is from Rfam by way of RNAcentral.
GCCGGGUAUGGUGGCACGUGCCUGUAAUCCCAGCACUUUGGGAGGCUGAGCGGGGCAGAUCACUUGAGGUCAGGAAUUUGCGACCAGUUUGGCCAACUUGGCAAAACNNNNNNNNNNGUGCCACCAUACCCGGCUAAUUUUGUAUUUUUAGUAGAGAUGGGGUUUUGCCAAGUUGGCCAAACUGGUCGCAAAUUCCUGACCUCAAGUGAUCUGCCCCGCUCAG